UAAAUUGACUGUUGUAUUAUCAGAAGCCAAGGUAUGACACAACUUUGGGAGCAACACUGGCUAUCAGGUAAGUAAUUUUCUUAUUGAAUGGAUGGAUUUAACAAUUGCUGCUAUUAUAGACCAGCUAAAAAUAAUAUCUUCUCUCAUUAUUAAAUACAACAAGAGAUGCAACAGGCGUUCUCUAUUCAUACACAGGAUAUGCAGCUAAUACUUGCUAUUCACAUCAUCUUAAGGUCUACCUACCUUCUUAGGUCUUCUUGUUUUGAAGAUUUUUGGAUAUUUGUAUCACAAAGAGGAAAAGCAGCUUGCUCUUCAUCGACAUGCCAGCUUCAGCCAUAAUAUUUUUGCCCCUGCUUUUUAACAUUAUUACAUCAAUUACCAUCACACCAUUUUGUAAAUACAACAAACUCUUUAGGUAUUUUCAAAAUUCACUUUUGACCUUUCACUGCUACUUUAGCUCUAAAAGUGACAGGUUUUACAUCUUGGACUGACUCAUUAUAUUUACAAAGCAACACGUAGAUUACUUUUGACAGCUGCAAAGUAAUUCUGUAUAUUACAUAAAAUUAUACACCUACGUAUACUCUCCUCUCCAGAACUUAGUUUUUGGAUUACCUUAGCUUUUUCUCGAUGAACUUCGAACUUAAGUUGUCGUGUCUGCUCCGCUGAACGAUCUUCUUUUGCUAUUUUGUUUGGUUUUCCUGUUGGGUUUCUCUGAAGAACACAACGUUUGCUAAUCAGGGGUUAUAGCGACUGCUGCUUGAGAAGUUCUUUUUCGAAUUUUCUACUUAUUUGAAGGAGUAUCAUGGCUUUUGUUCUCAUUUUCGUGGGGCUAAAUUAUAUCAUAGCUACUGCUUGGAAGAUGAUAUAGGUCAUCUUAGAAAAAUCUUGGUUUUUUUUAUCUUUGGAUACCAGAGUUCAUUCAUUCAGUUGGAUGCCUUUGAAAAGAAAAUUGUUAGUUUGACCAACAUGGGCAUAAGUUGUGGCUUCAAGUGCUGAACCUCUUCUGCUUUUCUUGGAGUAAGAGUGACAAUGUGAUGGUUCUACGUAAUGUUCUUUUAGAUUUUUCUUUUCAAGUUCUAUAAGCAAUUAUUAUGUGCUCCAGUCAUUAUUGCAUUUUCACAUUUUAAGUAUCUGCGAAGAACCAAAUACAUUUUUUUGAUAGAACUCUUUCCUAUAUGUGCAUAUCAAAAUCUGUAAGCAAAUCCUAAUGUCUUCAUUUAUUUUAAGAAUGGCUAUGAACAAUCAAGUGAUGAUCUUCAAAUGCUUUGAUUUGGGAGAGGGUGGAUCAAUAGAGGGUUGAUAUUAGUUUGUUGUUAGACUAAGUUUACUGGUGUAUCAAAAUGAGCUGUAGUAAUUUCUCAUGUAUAUUUGUUUUCAUAAUCCGAUAAUGGUUUGUGCAGA
Molecule: long non-coding RNA, 1401 nt
Organism: Nicotiana tabacum (common tobacco)
Lineage: Eukaryota; Viridiplantae; Streptophyta; Magnoliopsida; Solanales; Solanaceae
Source: RefSeq, a predicted model, not a curated record